AAAGUCGUAACAAGGUUUCCGUAGGUGAACCUGCGGAAGGAUCAUUAUUGAAUAAAACUUGGUUGGGCUGUUGCUGAUCCUCCGGGAUAUGUGCACGCCUACCGACCAACUUUUUAUUACCACCUGUGCACCUUUUGUAGAUGCUGGAUAUCUCUCGAGUGCCAAACUCGGUUUUGAGGACUGCCCCGAGCUUUCCUCAAAUUUCUGCUCUACGUUUUUUUAAUAUACCCCCUUGCAUGUCAUUGAAUGUUAUUGAUAUAGGGCCUUUGUGGCCUUUAAAAAUCUAUACAACUUUCAACAACGGAUCUCUUGGCUCUC
RNAcentral lists this unclassified non-coding RNA (318 nucleotides) under Basidiomycota sp. RNAcentral describes it as "partial contains small subunit ribosomal RNA, internal transcribed spacer 1, and 5.8S ribosomal RNA". The stretch from base 1 to 47 matches the Rfam family "Eukaryotic small subunit ribosomal RNA", at positions 1785 to 1831 of the family's 1831-position model. Lineage: Eukaryota; Fungi; Basidiomycota. The record is from RNAcentral.